GUAUUUCCAUUUCAGUUUGGGGUAGUUAAGUAAUGUUAUUCUUUCAGUCAAAUUCAUGGAUACUAGGUUGCGAGGAUGUGGUAUUUUAGUUAGCUUGUUCAACGAGUCUCAUUGGGCUUUGAUUGCAUUUCUUUGGAAUGCAUUACAUUUAAGAUAGUGGUUAUUAGCUGGUUGGUAAAUUUAAAUGCAUUGGAAUGGAGCUAUGGCUGCAAUUCUCUACAAAUUCUGAAUGGAAAGAUUUGGAAGGGUGCUUUUGGUGUCUAAAAUGGUUCUGUUGUGCUGGAACUAUUCUCCACACAACCCUAGUUGGGGCUUAAGAUUGGUUUUUACUGAAGAUUUUUGGCAUUUCCUUCCAAUUGCAAUUGCUGAUAGCAUUUCCCUUGAUUUUGGUUCGUUCUCCGUUUUCCUUCUCCAUUUGGAGAGGAGAUUAGAGAGGGGCGAGGACGUGGGCAGCAGCUAAUAUCGAGCUUAUGGAAGAGCAGAAGUCACUAAAACUGGCUUCAGAUGAAAAUCUUGAGUUAAAAGCUCACAUGGAAGAUCUCUUGUUGACGAAAAAUUUCAUUGAGGAGUUGAUGGAGAAAGGUAAGCUAAUUGAAAGGGUGGAAGAAGAACUUAUUGAAAUGAGUGAUUCACUUUGGCAAAUGAAUCAUAACCUUGAAGGUUUGAAGAGUGAUUUGAAUAAGUUACUAAGGAAAGGGAUUGCCUUGAUUCUGAGGUACUUGUCUUGAAAGAGCAGCUAGAAAUGGCACAAGCUGUUGUUGAAGAAAAUGAAGCAAUUGCUACAGAAGCUAGACAGAUAGCUGAGGCAAGGAAGAACUAUGCUGAAGAGGAGGAGGAGGUGAAGCUAUUAGAGAAGUCCGUGGAAGAGCUAAAAUAUACCGUAAAUGUAUUGGAAAACGAAGUGGAGAUUGUCAAAGGAGAGGCUGAAAGGCAAUGGUUGUAGAGAGAGGAGCUAGAAGGGGACCUUACUGAAAUAGUUCAUGUACUGAUUGUUGAUAUUGUGCAAGGAUAUAAUUAGUUUUGAAAAC
Magnolia sinica is the source of this 1028-nucleotide long non-coding RNA. RefSeq lists it as uncharacterized. The record is from RefSeq and is a predicted model, not a curated record. NCBI's taxonomy places the organism in Eukaryota, Viridiplantae, Streptophyta, Magnoliopsida, Magnoliales, Magnoliaceae. The transcript has 3 exons.